This 460-nucleotide ribosomal RNA is filed under the name uncultured bacterium. RNAcentral describes it as "bacterial SSU rRNA". It matches the Rfam family "Bacterial small subunit ribosomal RNA", at positions 29 to 533 of the family's 1533-position model. The record is from RNAcentral.
AACGAACGCUGGCGGCAUGCCUAACACAUGCAAGUCGAACGAAGCCUUCGGGCUUAGUGGCGCACGGGUGCGUAACACGUGGGAAUCUGCCCUUCGGUUCGGAAUAACAGUUAGAAAUGACUGCUAAUACCGGAUGAUGACGUAAGUCCAAAGAUUUAUCGCCGAAGGAUGAGCCCGCGUAGGAUUAGGGUAGUUGGUAGGGUAAUGGCCUACCAAGCCGACGAUCCUUAGCUGGUCUGAGAGGAUGAUCAGCCACACUGGGACUGAGACACGGCCCAGACUCCUACGGGAGGCAGCAGUGGGGAAUAUUGGACAAUGGGCGAAAGCCUGAUCCAGCAAUGCCGCGUGAGUGAUGAAGGCCUUAGGGUUGUAAAGCUCUUUUACCAGGGAUGAUAAUGACAGUACCUGGAGAAUAAGCUCCGGCUAACUCCGUGCCAGCAGCCGCGGUAAAGUACAGUGU